This 73-nucleotide transfer RNA is filed under the name Actinomadura sp. KC216. RNAcentral's name for it is "tRNA-Leu". It matches the Rfam family "tRNA". Rfam says of the family: Transfer RNA (tRNA) molecules are approximately 80 nucleotides in length. Their secondary structure includes four short double-helical elements and three loops (D, anti-codon, and T loops). Further hydrogen bonds mediate the characteristic L-shaped molecular structure. tRNAs have two regions of fundamental functional importance: the anti-codon, which is responsible for specific mRNA codon recognition, and the 3' end, to which the tRNAs corresponding amino acid is attached (by aminoacyl-tRNA synthetases). tRNAs cope with the degeneracy of the genetic code in two manners: having more than one tRNA (with a specific anti-codon) for a particular amino acid; and 'wobble' base-pairing, i.e. permitting non-standard base-pairing at the 3rd anti-codon position. The record is from RNAcentral. Lineage: Bacteria; Bacillati; Actinomycetota; Actinomycetes; Streptosporangiales; Thermomonosporaceae.
AGGCUCGUACUCCAAUGGUAGAGAGAGCGGUCUUAGAAACCGUGUAGUGAGGGUUCGAGUCCCUCCGAGCCUA